RNAcentral lists this ribosomal RNA (444 nucleotides) under uncultured bacterium. RNAcentral's name for it is "partial 16S ribosomal RNA". It matches the Rfam family "Bacterial small subunit ribosomal RNA", at positions 331 to 792 of the family's 1533-position model. The record is from RNAcentral.
CCAGACUCCUACGGGAGGCAGCAGUGGGGGAUAUUGCACAAUGGGGGGAACCCUGAUGCAGCGACGCCGCGUGGGUGAAGAAGCGCCUCGGCGCGUAAAGCCCUAUCGGCAGGGAAGAAGGAGGACGGUACCUGACUAAGAAGCCCCGGCUAACUACGUGCCAGCAGCCGCGGUAAUACGUAGGGGGCAAGCGUUAUCCGGAUUUACUGGGUGUAAAGGGGCGCAGACGGCAGCGCAAGCCAGGAGUGAAAGCCCGGGGCCCAACCCCGGGACUGCUCUUGGAACUGCGCGGCUGGAGUGCAGGAGGGACAGGCGGAAUUCCUGGUGUAGCGGUGAAAUGCGUAGAUAUCAGGAGGAACACCGGUGGCGAAGGCGGCCUGCUGGACUGCGACUGACGUUGAGGCCCGAAAGCGUGGGGAGCAAACAGGAUUAGAUACCCCCGUA